RNAcentral lists this ribosomal RNA (370 nucleotides) under uncultured eukaryote. RNAcentral describes it as "partial 18S ribosomal RNA". It matches the Rfam family "Eukaryotic small subunit ribosomal RNA", at positions 592 to 976 of the family's 1831-position model. The record is from RNAcentral.
CAAUAGCGUAUAUUAAAGUUGUUGCAGUUAAAAAGCUCGUAGUUGGAUUUCUGGUCGGAAGCUCCUGUCCUCUGAUGAGCGUACAAGUGCGUCCUACCAUCCUUCUGUUAACCUUUAAGGCUUUCGCGGCUUUCUAGGGGCUCAGAUAUUUUACCUUGAGAAAAUUAGAGUGUUUCAGGCAGGCUAGCGCCGGAAUACAUUAGCAUGGAAUAAUGGAAUAGGACUUUUGCCUCUUCUGUUGGUCAUGAGGCUCGAGUAAUGAUCAAUAGGGAUAGUUGGGGGCAUUAGUACUUAACUGUCAGAGGUGAAAUUCUCGGAUUUGUUAAAGACUAACUUAUGCGAAAGCAUUUGCCAAGGAUGUUUUCAUUAA